UCCAUAGUGGCUCAGAUGGUAAAGCAUCUGCCUGCAAUGCAGGAGACCCAGGUUCAAUCCCUGGGUAGAGAA
This 72-nucleotide transfer RNA is filed under the name Bos taurus (domestic cattle). It matches the Rfam family "tRNA". Rfam says of the family: Transfer RNA (tRNA) molecules are approximately 80 nucleotides in length. Their secondary structure includes four short double-helical elements and three loops (D, anti-codon, and T loops). Further hydrogen bonds mediate the characteristic L-shaped molecular structure. tRNAs have two regions of fundamental functional importance: the anti-codon, which is responsible for specific mRNA codon recognition, and the 3' end, to which the tRNAs corresponding amino acid is attached (by aminoacyl-tRNA synthetases). tRNAs cope with the degeneracy of the genetic code in two manners: having more than one tRNA (with a specific anti-codon) for a particular amino acid; and 'wobble' base-pairing, i.e. permitting non-standard base-pairing at the 3rd anti-codon position. RNAcentral also lists the same sequence under 5 other names. Lineage: Eukaryota; Metazoa; Chordata; Mammalia; Artiodactyla; Bovidae. The record is from Rfam by way of RNAcentral.